Non-coding RNA from Podarcis lilfordi (Lilford's wall lizard), 76 nucleotides. The record is from the annotation of a GenBank genome assembly. NCBI's taxonomy places the organism in Eukaryota, Metazoa, Chordata, Lepidosauria, Squamata, Lacertidae.
ACACAUGCAUGCACACUCAUAAGCAGCACUAUAUAUGUGUGUGUGUGUGUGUGUGUGUGUGUGUGUGUGUGUGUGU